RNAcentral lists this long non-coding RNA (437 nucleotides) under Rattus norvegicus (Norway rat). RNAcentral describes it as "long non-coding RNA NONRATT031872". Lineage: Eukaryota; Metazoa; Chordata; Mammalia; Rodentia; Muridae. The record is from RNAcentral.
GAAGUAUUGAUGCAGAAAAAGAAUGCUACUUAUUGUGUUUCAAUAAGUAAGAAGAUAAACACACAAAAAGAAGGACAAUGUAGACUCAAUGGAUACAUAGAAAAGAUAAAUAAGACUGUAUUCAAGGCAAUGGAAGAGGGAGAUUUCUCUGAUCAGCAAUGUAAGAAUCUCAAAAUAUUCAGCACCCGUCAUCAUGACCCCAACUUCACCCAAAGAAGGAAGCAAGGCUCACAAUGGAGGUCAAACUGUGGACACAGUUCUUUCUUGCUGUCACUAGCUGGAAUGAGAAUCGAUUACCUCAGUCACACUCUACAAAUAUGUCUAGAAAUAUUGGAGAGACCUUAAUCACAAUUCUCUACCUACUCCAUUAUGCAUGCUUCGAUACCUCAAACUAUAGUCCUACCUGAUAUUUUUGGCCUUUCUAUGUAUAAUGAGAC